Arvicanthis niloticus (Nile rat) is the source of this 1721-nucleotide non-coding RNA. Lineage: Eukaryota; Metazoa; Chordata; Mammalia; Rodentia; Muridae. The record is from RefSeq and is a predicted model, not a curated record.
AGUUUUUUGCAGGGCUUCCUCAGAGCCGGUUUGCUCUCUUUGAGCUAUGUCGUCUCAUCGUGGAAUGGCUGAGGUUGGAGGGUCCCUUACCCCCUAAACUCCCUACAUUUUGUUCAGGGGCACUUAGAGGGAUCAUAUGGCAGCGGUGGCUUCCUUCAAGGCCCAAGGUUGGUUUCAAGGCUUUCUGUUCUGUGGUCAUCCAGGGCAGAAGGAGGCUGGCAGGAUGCGACGACGCUGGGAAAUGCUCUUCUACCGGACCGUGGGGCUAGGUGCAUGCAUGCAACUCACAUGGCUCACGGAAAAGCCAAGAACAGGCAGCGGGUUCGAAAAGCUUGCCACAGAGUUCGCAGAGAUUCCUCUUGCCACGAUGCCAGGAUCUCAAGUGUCCUUAAUCUGUUCUUCUAACAGAGUCGUGUUUGUUGAUGGAAUGACUGGCUUGCUGACAAAGAGGGGGCGCAAAUGGAGGCACAGAAUUAGGCCCCUCUUUGGCAUUUGGUGGAAGCUGGGUGUAUGUGCGGAGGUCGGAGGAUAGCUUCACAUGUCAGUCCUGGGAAGUCAUUCAGGCCAUCAGACUCAGUCAUCUCAUACCUGCUCAGUCAUCUCAUCCACACAAUGUCUUCAUUUUCAUCUUUUCCUCUUCCUCCUCUUUCUUUUCUGUUUUGUUUUGAGACAAGGACUCUCUCUGUAGCCCUGACUGUCCUAGACCCAGCUGACCUCAAACUCAGAGAUUUAUCUGCUACUGUCCUCUGAAUGCUGUGAUUAAAAAUGUGUAGCACCACAUCUGGUUUAUUUUUCUUAUAAUUAAAUAUACAUUUAUAUUUAAUAAGCUCUCUAAAAGUAGAUUUUACUUUUUUAUUGUUUAUUUGAGGUGAUAUGUUACUCUGUAGUUUAAGAAGACCUUAAACUUUCAGUUGUUUGGCCUCAGCCUCUUAAGGGCUUGGGACCACUUAUUGUUGAAAUUAUAUGUACAUAGAAAAAAUGUUGGGUGCAAAGACACCAAAAUGUUAAGUGAUUAUAACCGAGUAGUGGUAUUAUGGGUAAUAUUUUUCUUUUUCUUUUUAAUUUUUUUGCAGUAUGAUUACAUUGUUUUCUCACAAUUAGAAUAGAUUCAUAACUUGAAAAGUGCAUAAUCAGUAGUAUUCUACUUGUAGUAAAAUUAUGAAUGCAAAUUGAAAAAAAUGGGAAGGAAGUAUAUUGAACUAUUAACAGUCUUUAUAUUAGUUGCUAAGGGAUUGUGGGUAAUUUCUUCUGUAAUAUAGUCUUAUUAUUUUUAUAAUUAAAAUAAAAUGAUACCUAUAAAUAGCAUAUGCAAUAUGAUCCAACUUUUGUUAAAAUUAAUAUGUGCAUGGAAAAACUAAUAGAUUAUUUUGAAAUAUGUUUGUCUUUGUGUGGUGGGGUAUGACUAUUUUUUCUUUAUAAUUGUUUCUUCAUUUUCCAAAUUUUCUACAGCUAUUGUGUAUUAUUUUAAAUUGUAAAAAUGUAAAUAUUUAUAAAGCAGUUUAAUAUUGGAGUUUUUGUGAUAAAAGGGUGCCUACCUUGGAUUUGCUUUAAAAUAUUUCAGUUUGGGCCAGAGGAGAGUGGGGGGGUGCAUAGAUCAAAUGAGAAAAUUGUUGACUAUAGGUGCAUGAGGUUUCAUUGUGAUGUUUUCUUUGUGAAUGAAAUUUUCAUAAUGAAUAUUGUUCUUAAAAAACCUCUUCCACAAAAACUAUUUCUUUUUAAUU